Molecule: long non-coding RNA, 664 nt
Filed under: Olea europaea subsp. europaea
Lineage: Eukaryota; Viridiplantae; Streptophyta; Magnoliopsida; Lamiales; Oleaceae
Source: RNAcentral
AACUAAAUAUUGCACCUGAAAUCGCCCACUUUCCCAAUAAUCACACAAAUGAUCCCAAUCAGUCUAGUGAAGACUUCUUUUGGCUUAUUUGCUUUCCUAUGAGCCAUUGGUUGUUCUAGAUACUCCUUUUAGUAUGCGUGUAGCUCAUAUCAAAACUCCUUAAAGGAAGUGGCCACUGAUUUCUCCAGGAACUCGUUAAGAGAUGAAUAUUUACGCUUGAGUGGUGCCACUGCAAGUGACAGAAGAAUAUGAUGUCAAAAAAAAAAAAAAGAAAGAAAAACACACACACACACACACACAGACAAACACAUUGACAAGAACUAAAUAAUUCAAUCAUAGAAACCUGUCUCUGUGGGCACAAUGGUUGGUGUAGGGAGGGAGAUAGGAGCAGGGUGCAUGCUAGGUGUAGUAACCGGCUGUGUGAUAGGAACAGUCAUAGGUAUUCGGAGUGGUGGCUUCUUCUUUGGUGGCAUUGGUAUAACCACUUCGUUUCAAAACAAAAUUAAGUAAAAAGAAUAUUAUAAUGCAUAUACAAAAGUCUUGCAACCAAUCACAUUGACAACUAAAUUAUCAAGCAGGAUUAACUAAAACAUUGCUAGCAAUCUAUCUGCUGAAUAAAAAUACUUCUUAUCAAUUUUUUGGUAACCAAACAGGGGCUAAUUAU